RNAcentral lists this ribosomal RNA (467 nucleotides) under uncultured bacterium. Its description in RNAcentral is "partial 16S ribosomal RNA". It matches the Rfam family "Bacterial small subunit ribosomal RNA", at positions 28 to 507 of the family's 1533-position model. The record is from RNAcentral.
GACGAACGCUGGCGGCGUGCUUAACACAUGCAAGUCGAACGGAAAGGCCUCUUUCGGGGGGUACUCGAGUGGCGAACGGGUGAGUAACACGUGAGUAACCUGCCCUUGACUUUGGGAUAACUUCAGGAAACUGGGGCUAAUACCGGAUAGGAGCUCCUGCUGCAUGGUGGGGGUUGGAAAGUUUCGGCGGUUGGGGAUGGACUCGCGGCUUAUCAGCUUGUUGGUGGGGUAGUGGCUUACCAAGGCUUUGACCGGUAGCCGGCCUGAGAGGGUGACCGGCCACAUUGGGACUGAGAUACGGCCCAGACUCCUACGGGAGGCAGCAGUGGGGAAUAUUGCACAAUGGGUGGAAGCCUGAUGCAGCAACGCCGUGUGCGGGAUGACGGCCUUCGGUUUGUAAACCGCUUUCGCUCAUGACGAAGCUUUGUGUGACGGUAGUGGGUAAAGAAGCACCGGCUAACUACGUG